UAUCUCUGUAGAGUCUGCAUAUCAAUAAGCGGAGGAAAAGAAACUAACAAGGAUUCCCUUAGUAACGGCGAGUGAAGCGGGAAGAGCUCAAAUUUGAAAUCUUAAAGGGUUUCCCUUUACGAAUUGUAGUUUAAAGAAGUGUUUUCUGUUGGAGUUUCGGUAAAAGUUCUUUGGAAUAGGACAUCAUAGAGGGUGAGAAUCCCGUAUUUGACCGUUACUUUCAGCUGUGUGAUACACUUUCAAAGAGUCGGAUUGUUUGGGAAUGCAGUCCAAAAUGGGUGGUAAAUUUCAUCUAAAGCUAAAUAUUGGCGAGAGACCGAUAGCGAACAAGUACCGUGAGGGAAAGAUGAAAAGAACUUUGAAAAGAGAGUUAAACAGUACGUGAAAUUGUCAAAAGGGAAGCGUUUGACACCAGUGUUGUUUUUCCGAAAAUCAAUUACGAAUGUUUUAGUUUUUGAGGAGUUAUGACUUCAUCGGCUUGCUCCUUUCUUUACGAAACUUUCUUAAUGCACUUUUCGGUUAACAAGUCAACAUCAAUUUCUUUUGUUGUAAAAGGGUAUGAGGAAGGUGGCUUUCUUUUCGGAGAAAGUGUUUAUAGCCUUGUGACUCCUGCAAUCGGAGAGACUGAGGUCUGCAGCGUAGAUCCUUUUGGAUUAGAUUCAGUUUGUGCUAAGUUAUAGCUUUUUAUAGACAACAUGUUGACUAUAUUUAGUCUUGUAACUUACUCGCUUAUGUAAUUUUACCUACGCUUAGGAUGUUGAACGCGCACAGAGUCUC
RNAcentral lists this ribosomal RNA (777 nucleotides) under uncultured Neocallimastigales. RNAcentral describes it as "partial large subunit ribosomal RNA". It matches the Rfam family "Eukaryotic large subunit ribosomal RNA", at positions 24 to 641 of the family's 3401-position model. The record is from RNAcentral. Lineage: Eukaryota; Fungi; Neocallimastigomycota; Neocallimastigomycetes; Neocallimastigales.